RNAcentral lists this unclassified non-coding RNA (373 nucleotides) under soil metagenome. Its description in RNAcentral is "partial contains 5.8S ribosomal RNA, internal transcribed spacer 2, and large subunit ribosomal RNA". The stretch from base 1 to 121 matches the Rfam family "5.8S ribosomal RNA", at positions 35 to 154 of the family's 154-position model. The record is from RNAcentral.
GAUGAAGAACGUAGCGAAAUGCGAUAAGUAAUGCGAAUUGCAGAAUUCCAGUGAGUCAUCGAAUCUUUGAACGCACAUUGCGCCCUUUGGUAUUCCGAAGGGCAUGCCUGUUCGAGCGUCAUUAUCACCCCUCAAGCCCUCGGCUUGGUGUUGGACGGUUUGGUGGAGGCCCCCUCGGGGGCUCCUGCCCCUCCCAAAGACAAUGACGGCGGCCUCGUUGGACCCCCGGUACACUGAGUUCUUCACGGGACACGUAUCGGACACAUGGGUUUACGGGACACGGUCUGCCUCCCCUCAGGGCGAAUCUUUCUAAGGUUGACCUCGGAUCAGGUAGGGAUACCCGCUGAACUUAAGCAUAUCAAUAAGCGGAGGA